GAUCCUACGGGGCGCAGCAGUGAGGAAUAUUGGUCAAUGGGCGGGAGCCUGAACCAGCCAAGUCGCGUGAAGGAAGAAGGUACUUAGUAUUGUAAACUUCUUUUGUCGGGGAACAAAGGCGGAGACGCGUCUCCGGAUGAGUGUACCCGAAGAAAAAGCAUCGGCUAACUCCGUGCCAGCAGCCGCGGUAAUACGGAGGAUGCGAGCGUUAUCCGGAUUUAUUGGGUUUAAAGGGUGCGUAGGCGGGCUGUUAAGUCAGCGGUCAAAUGUCGGGGCUCAACCCCGGCCUGCCGUUGAAACUGGCG
Molecule: ribosomal RNA, 305 nt
Filed under: uncultured bacterium
Lineage: Bacteria
Description: bacterial SSU rRNA
Rfam family: Bacterial small subunit ribosomal RNA
Source: RNAcentral